Cebus imitator (Panamanian white-faced capuchin) is the source of this 805-nucleotide RNA transcript. It is a transcript of the gene named coiled-coil-helix-coiled-coil-helix domain-containing protein 2-like, with no coding region annotated. The transcript has a single exon. The record is from RefSeq and is a predicted model, not a curated record. NCBI's taxonomy places the organism in Eukaryota, Metazoa, Chordata, Mammalia, Primates, Cebidae.
CGGUUUUCCCAGAAGCCGCUGAGCUCUUCCCUGGUAAUUGCACGUCUAAAGGCCGAGCAGCCCCGUCGCUAGGAUGCCGCGUGGAAGCCGAAGCUACACCUCCCGCAUGGCCCCUCCAGCCUGCCGGGCCCUUCAGAUGAGAGCUGCGCCUAGGCCAGCACCAGCCGCUCAGCCACCAGCAGCGGCCCCCCGCCUCUGCAGUUGGCUCUCCUGCUGCUGCACCCCAGCAGCCAGGUCUGCUGUCCCAUAUGGCAACCACUGCAGCUGGUGUGGCUGUGGGCUCUGCUGUGGGGCACACACUGGGCCACGCCAUUACUGGGGGCUUCAGUGGAAGAAGUGAUCCUGAGCCUAUGAGGCCUGAUAUCACUUACCAGGAGCCUCAGGGAACUCAGCCGGCACAGCAGCAGCAGCGUUGCUUCUAUGAGAUCAAACAGUUUUUGGAGUGUGCCCAGAACCAGAGUGACAUCAAGCUCUGUGAGGGUUUCAGUGAGGUGCUGAAACAGUGCCGACUUGCAAACAGAUUGAUCUAAUCAAGAAGUUCAACCUGGAGAAAUGGAAAACCAGCUCUUAUAACCAAGGUAACUUAAAAUAAAAAUUUAAUUAAUAGUGAAGGUGUAAAGUGUAGCCAUCAGUUAAACCUCUCCUGUCAUUCCUAGCUUCCUUGCUUCAGAAUUGAAAUGGAAGCGGAUGUUCCUACUCUGUAGAAUUUGGAGCUGGUCAAAUGUCUGUGUGGCCUCCUUAAACUAGCUGUUAUGAUUUUAUUCUUUGUGAGUUAAUUAGAAUAAAGUUAUUUUCUUCCAAAAAA